Molecule: long non-coding RNA, 834 nt
Organism: Gallus gallus (chicken)
Lineage: Eukaryota; Metazoa; Chordata; Aves; Galliformes; Phasianidae
Exons: 4
Source: RefSeq, a predicted model, not a curated record
GAGGCCUCAGAAGUCCCUCCGGACCAGGGCAAGAAAGGGACAUUCCCUGAAUUGCCUCCCUUGCCCGGCUGCGUCCGUGUUACUUUUCUACAAGACCCGGGAUCCAGGAAGAAAUCAGGUGUCACCACCAAGAAGUCCAGUCAGCUGCCAGCAACCCCAGAGGGGUCUUCUACCAGAACGCAGCCCGGGAAAAAGAAAGAGGGAAAAUCCACUGCGAAAAGCAAAGCAAAGAAGAUGGGUCCUGCAAAGGCAGUGGAACCAAAGAGUUACACAGAAGAACACAGAGCAGUGAAAGUCCCCACUCAAGGAGGAGUGCCAGAAAAGGCACAAGCAAACCUCCAGAGCCAUAGUGGAGCCCCAUCCCCGGUGCAAACACCAAUAGCAUCUCUAUGGUGUCGGAGCUCUGAGACCAGCCUUCUCCAGGAGCCCAAUGACAAUAAGUCUGGACAGCAUCCACCGGGAUCCACGUCACAAAAACUGCUCAAGUUAAGGGGUGAGAUGUCCAGGCCAGUGCUGGAAAAGCCUCACAAGACAGCUUGGCUGACAUCUCACUCUGAGUCCAGCCUGCCUGAGGAGCACACCAGCAAAACCUCUGGUUUUGUGCCGCUGAUGCACAGGAGAACCAAGUCAUUGCCAUGUCAGCCAGCACAGAACGGAGAAGGGCUCCUCUGGCGUGGGAUGUCCUCUCCACACUGAUCAGGGCACGGGGAGCCCAGCAGAGCCAGAGCUCCACCUUAGGCUGCAGAACAGAGCUGCCUGGCCUGCUGGAAGUCCUAGUGGAGUAUUUCCAGCACUGCCUGAUGGAGAUCUUUGGAAUCCUGAAGGAAUAUGAGG